CAUCGCCGCGGUAAUACGAAGGGUGCAAGCGUUACUCGGAAUUACUGGGCGUAAAGCGUGCGUAGGCGGUGAGUUAAGUCUGCUGUGAAAUCCCCGGGCUCAACCUGGGAAUGGCAGUGGAUACUGGCUCGCUAGAGUGUGUCAGAGGAUGGUGGAAUUCCCGGUGUAGCGGUGAAAUGCGUAGAGAUCGGGAGGAACAUCAGUGGCGAAGGCGGCCAUCUGGGACAACACUGACGCUGAGGCACGAAAGCGUGGGGAGCAAACAGGAUUAGAUACCCGUGUAGUCCCUGUCUCUUAUACA
This 301-nucleotide ribosomal RNA is filed under the name uncultured bacterium. Its description in RNAcentral is "partial 16S ribosomal RNA". It matches the Rfam family "Bacterial small subunit ribosomal RNA", at positions 512 to 808 of the family's 1533-position model. The record is from RNAcentral.